Molecule: small nuclear RNA, 22 nt
Filed under: Arabidopsis thaliana (thale cress)
Lineage: Eukaryota; Viridiplantae; Streptophyta; Magnoliopsida; Brassicales; Brassicaceae
Description: snRNA_02676
Source: RNAcentral
AUAAUUGGUGGACAAUAUGUGG